Molecule: long non-coding RNA, 437 nt
Filed under: Crocodylus porosus (Australian saltwater crocodile)
Lineage: Eukaryota; Metazoa; Chordata; Crocodylia; Crocodylidae
Description: lncRNA (ENSCPRG00005012018.1)
Source: RNAcentral
CUUUGUCACAGGAAGUGGAGAGAAUAUUGGAGAACUGUAUUUACAUCUAUAACAUUUUUAAACAAAAACCUGAUAACUAUUACACUGGGAUUUCAGGGGAUUACAGAAUGUUAUGGUGGAUACCUAGCUUGAUGACUGUCUUUGUAAGAACCUGGGCACAGGAGUAGGAGAAUAUCCAACGUUUAUCACUUGGGAGUAUAACUGGCUUCUGCUGCUGUAAAGAGGAUAAACAUCCUGGUGUCUCUGGUAGGGGCAGUUUCAGAUUUUAUUAUCCUGUGUUUGUAUUUUACAACUGACCAUUCUGCAAAAAACCUGCUUCAUGGAACAACCAAAGAACUGUAGCCUCCUACUCAAAUACUAACAGAGUUCUUAUUCUCAAGUAAUUUUGUACUGGAAUUAUCCACUUCUUUAUUAAUUUCUAUCAGUGGCAUUGGAUG